GGCGGUUCUCAGGUGACGCACCCCAGAAUCGGGCUCCCUCCUCUCUGGUUCCUGGGUGCAUCACUGAAGAACCACA
Molecule: non-coding RNA, 76 nt
Organism: Myotis lucifugus (little brown bat)
Lineage: Eukaryota; Metazoa; Chordata; Mammalia; Chiroptera; Vespertilionidae
Source: Rfam